GAUGAACGCUGGCGGCGUGCCUAACACAUGCAAGUCGAGCGACCAGACGAGGAUCUUGCUCCUCUCACGUUACCGGCGGACGGGUGAGUAACACGUGGAUAACCUAUCUUUAAGAAUGGGAUAACUUCGGGAAACCGGAUCUAACACCCGACAAUAUAUUGAACCGCAUGGUUCAAUAGUCCUCGCCGUUUUUGCUCUCCCUUAUACAUGGUUCCUCGCCGCAUUAGCUAGUUGGUAAGGUAACGGCUUACCAAGGCAACGAUGCGUAGCCGACCUGAGAGGAUGAUCGGCCACACUGGAACUGAGACACGGUCCAGACUCCUACGGGAGGCAGCAGUAGGGAAUCUUGCGCAAUGGGCGAAAGCCUGACGCAGCAACGCCGCGUGAGGGAAGAAGGUCUUCGGAUCGUAAAACGCUGUUGUUAGGGAAGAAAAAAUGUGGAAGUAUAUAUGGAGGUGAUGACGGUACCGGAAGAAAAAGCAACGGCUAACUACGUG
RNAcentral lists this ribosomal RNA (497 nucleotides) under uncultured bacterium. Its description in RNAcentral is "partial 16S ribosomal RNA". It matches the Rfam family "Bacterial small subunit ribosomal RNA", at positions 28 to 507 of the family's 1533-position model. The record is from RNAcentral.